UCGAGAAUCAUUCGCAAUGGGCGAAAGCCUGACGAUGCGACGCCGUGUGAGUGAAGAAGGCCUUCGGGUCGUAAAGCUCUUUCGCCCUGGAACAAGAGAAGCUGACUAAUAAUCAGCUAAUUUGAGUGUACAGGGUAAAGAAGCACCGGCUAACUCCGUGCCAGCAGCUGCGGUAAUACGGAGGGUGCAAGCAUUAAUCGGAUUUAUUGGGCGUAAAGGGCGCGUAGGCGGGGAUGUCAGUCAGAUGUGAAAUCCCGGGGCUCAACCUCGGAACAGCAUUUGAAACUACAUUUCUCGAGGGUAGGCGGAGAAAACGGAAUUCCACAAGUAGCGGUGAAAUGCGUAGAUAUGUGGAAGAACACCGGUGGCGAAGGCGGUUUUCUAGCUUAUUCCUGACGCUAAUGCGCGAAAGCAAGGGGAUCAAACAGGAUUAGAUACCCCUGUAGUCC
RNAcentral lists this ribosomal RNA (449 nucleotides) under uncultured bacterium. RNAcentral describes it as "bacterial SSU rRNA". It matches the Rfam family "Bacterial small subunit ribosomal RNA", at positions 355 to 796 of the family's 1533-position model. The record is from RNAcentral.